Molecule: ribosomal RNA, 468 nt
Filed under: uncultured bacterium
Lineage: Bacteria
Description: partial 16S ribosomal RNA
Rfam family: Bacterial small subunit ribosomal RNA
Source: RNAcentral
GAUGAACGCUGGCGGCGUGCCUAACACAUGCAAGUCGAACGGAAAGGCCCUGCGUUUGUGGGGUUCUCGAUUGCCGAACGGGUGUGUAACACGUGUGUAACCUGCCCUUGUCUUUGGGGUAACUUCAGGAAACUCGGGCUAAUAUCGGAUAGGAGCUCCUGCACCGUGGGGGGGGUUGGAAAGUUUCGGCGGUUGGGGAUGGAUUGGCGGGUUAUCAGCUUGUUGGUGGGGUAGUGGCUUACCCAGUCUUUGACGGGUAGGCGGCCUGAGAGGGUGGACGGCGACCUUGCGCCUACGGUACGGAGCAGAAGGCUACCGGAGGCAGUAGGGGGAAAUCUUGCGCAGCGACGCCGCGUGAGUGACGGAGGCGCUCGGUGCGGAAAGCCCGCUUUUUGGUGAAGAACAGCUGUCGAAUGAGACGAAGAGUGAGUGACGGUAACUAAUAAAGAAGCACCGGCUAACUACGUG